AUUGAACGCUGACGGCAGGCUUAACACAUGCAAGUCGAGCGGUAACAGAGAGAAGCUUGCUUCUCUGCUGACGAGCGGCGGACGGGUGAGUAAUGCCUAGGAAUCUGCCUAGUAGUGGGGGAUAACUUGCCGAAAGGUAAGCUAAUACCGCAUACGUCCUACGGGAGAAAGGAGGGGACCUUCGGGCCUUUCGCUAUUAGAUGAGCCUAGGUCGGAUUAGUUAGUUGGUGAGGUAAUGGCUCACCAAGACCGCGAUCCGUAACUGGUCUGAGAGGAUGAUCAGUCACACUGGAACUGAGACACGGUCCAGACUCCUACGGGAGGCAGCAGUGGGGAAUAUUGGACAAUGGGGGGAACCCUGAUCCAGCCAUGCCGCGUGUGUGAAGAAGGUCUUAGGAUUGUAAAGCGCUUUAAGUUGGGAGGAAGAGCAGUUAACUAAUAUUUGACUGUUUUGACGUUACCGACAGAAUAAGCACCGGCUAACUUCGUGCCAGCAGCCGCGGUAA
RNAcentral lists this ribosomal RNA (506 nucleotides) under uncultured bacterium. RNAcentral describes it as "partial 16S ribosomal RNA". It matches the Rfam family "Bacterial small subunit ribosomal RNA", at positions 30 to 523 of the family's 1533-position model. The record is from RNAcentral.